AAAUCUCCAUAGCCGGAUUU
RNAcentral lists this small nuclear RNA (20 nucleotides) under Arabidopsis thaliana (thale cress). RNAcentral's name for it is "snRNA_05348". Lineage: Eukaryota; Viridiplantae; Streptophyta; Magnoliopsida; Brassicales; Brassicaceae. The record is from RNAcentral.